This 480-nucleotide ribosomal RNA is filed under the name uncultured bacterium. RNAcentral's name for it is "bacterial SSU rRNA". It matches the Rfam family "Bacterial small subunit ribosomal RNA", at positions 30 to 496 of the family's 1533-position model. The record is from RNAcentral.
AUUGAGCGCUGGCGGCAUGCCUUACACAUGCAAGUCGAACGGCAGCACGGGAGCAAUCCUGGUGGCGAGUGGCGAACGGGUGAGUAAUGUAUCGGAACGUACCUUUCAGUGGGGGAUAACGUAGCGAAAGUUACGCUAAUACCGCAUAUUCUGUGAGCAGGAAAGCAGGGGAUCGCAAGACCUUGCGCUGAUUGAGCGGCCGAUAUCAGAUUAGCUAGUUGGUGAGGUAAAGGCUCACCAAGGCGACGAUCUGUAGCGGGUCUGAGAGGAUGAUCCGCCACACUGGAACUGAGACACGGUCCAGACUCCUACGGGAGGCAGCAGUGGGGAAUUUUGGACAAUGGGCGCAAGCCUGAUCCAGCCAUGCCGCGUGAGUGAAGAAGGCCUCGGUUGUAAGACGUCUUCUAGCCGGGAACGAAAACGACGAUAGGUUAAGUAACCUCGUGUGGAGUGACGGUACCGGAAGUAAGAAGACACCGG